Molecule: ribosomal RNA, 440 nt
Filed under: uncultured bacterium
Lineage: Bacteria
Description: partial 16S ribosomal RNA
Rfam family: Bacterial small subunit ribosomal RNA
Source: RNAcentral
CCUACGGGAGGCUGCAGUGGGGAAUAUUGGACAAUGGGGGGAACCCUGAUCCAGCGACGCCGCGUGAGUGAAGAAGUAUUUCGGUAUGUAAAGCUCUAUCAGCAGGGAAGAAAAUGACGGUACCUGACUAAGAAGCCCCGGCUAACUACGUGCCAGCAGCCGCGGUAAUACGUAGGGGGCAAGCGUUAUCCGGAUUUACUGGGUGUAAAGGGAGCGUAGACGGUGCAGCAAGUCUGAUGUGAAAGGUCGGGGCCCAACCCCGGGACUGCAUUGGAAACUGUUGAACUGGAGUGCAGGAGAGGUAAGCGGAAUGCCUAGUGUAGCGGUGAAAUGCGUAGAUAUUAGGCGGAACACCAGUGGCGAAGGCGGCUUACUGGACUGUAACUGACGUUGAGGCUCGAAAGCGUGGGGAGCAAACAGGAUUAGAUACCCGGGUAGUC